Molecule: ribosomal RNA, 126 nt
Filed under: Periophthalmus magnuspinnatus
Lineage: Eukaryota; Metazoa; Chordata; Actinopteri; Gobiiformes; Gobiidae
Source: RNAcentral
UGUUAAGUGCAUUAUUACCUUGGACCUUAUGUAAAGUUGAGAAUGACCGGUCUUGGAAGCUAAGCAGGGUUGGGCCUGGUUAUUACUUGGAUGGGAGACCAACAGGAAUACCAGGUGCCUUAGUGC